Mus caroli (Ryukyu mouse) is the source of this 455-nucleotide non-coding RNA. The record is from RefSeq and is a predicted model, not a curated record. NCBI's taxonomy places the organism in Eukaryota, Metazoa, Chordata, Mammalia, Rodentia, Muridae.
CCUUACAGGUUGUGACGUGUUCAGUGUUUCAGGAUGUGAUCGAAGCCUCAAAGACUUUACCCUUCUAUAGAGAAAUAAAGAUGAAUUAAGAAGAUAUUUGCCCUGGCCUCUGAGCCAAACUGAAGAAUGGAAUGAACUGGCUUAGAGGCCCUUGGACCUGCUGGCUCCGUCUCACCAAGCAGUCUUAGGUAGUUCGGGAAUUCUCCAAGUGAGAACAGCGUUGAAAAAACAACUGUUUAACUAGAGCUCCAGCAUGGUGAUGAUGUAUGCAUGCGUGCUGUGUGUGUGAACAUUCACAUGCAUGUGCCUGAGUCUGGCCAGGCCGAUAAGCUUCUUCUCAUUGGUUGAGAAACUCCAGAGGCAGAAAAUCAAGAUAAGGAACAAUUUUGUAGAUAUGAUGACCCUACUGGCAACAUAGUUUCAUGGUUGGGUUUCAGAGUUGAUGUUACACUCCC